CUAUUCAGCCAUACCACCCUGAAUAAGCCCUAUCACAUCUGAUCUUGGAGCUAAUCAAUAUUGGCCUUGGUUAGUACUAGAAUAGGAGGAAGUUUAACUUUGGUGUAUUGU
Molecule: ribosomal RNA, 111 nt
Filed under: Jaculus jaculus (lesser Egyptian jerboa)
Lineage: Eukaryota; Metazoa; Chordata; Mammalia; Rodentia; Dipodidae
Source: RNAcentral